Molecule: ribosomal RNA, 255 nt
Filed under: uncultured bacterium
Lineage: Bacteria
Description: partial 16S ribosomal RNA
Rfam family: Bacterial small subunit ribosomal RNA
Source: RNAcentral
UAUGGAUGGACCCGCGGCGUAUUAGCUAGUUGGUGAGGUAAUGGCUCACCAAGGCGAUGAUACGUAGCCGACCUGAGAGGGUGAUCGGCCACACUGGGACUGAGACACGGCCCAGACUCCUACGGGAGGCAGCAGUAGGGAAUCUUCCGCAAUGGACGAAAGUCUGACGGAGCAAUGCCGCGUGAGUGAAGAAGGUUUUCGGAUCGUAAAACUCAGGGUUAGAGAAGAACAAGGAUGAGAGUAACUGCUCAUCCC